Molecule: long non-coding RNA, 282 nt
Filed under: Elaeis guineensis (African oil palm)
Lineage: Eukaryota; Viridiplantae; Streptophyta; Magnoliopsida; Arecales; Arecaceae
Description: long non-coding RNA (EGUI_LNC039328)
Source: RNAcentral
CCCACCAAUCUCACUUACCUGAUCAAUUUGAUGAAUUAUGUUUUGAUUAGAUCACUAAGUGAUUCAAGUGAACCCAUGCCAUUAAGGUUGAUCAAUGUGACUGAUCUAGGUGCCAUUUCAAUCAGCAUGAUCCUAAUCUGAUUCAAUGACUUGGUGAAGUCAGUGAGAAGAUUGUGAUUUAUUGAUUGAUCUCUUCUCUCUUCUUAAUUCAUAAUUAAAUCUUCUAAAUUAUUAGAUCCCUUAAAUGAGAUAGUUAUGAUAAUAACUAGAUCAUAGCCUUCU